Molecule: ribosomal RNA, 412 nt
Filed under: uncultured microorganism
Description: bacterial SSU rRNA
Rfam family: Archaeal small subunit ribosomal RNA
Source: RNAcentral
GUGCAGCAGUCGAGAAAACUCCGCAAUACACGAAAGUGUGACGGGGCCAUCCCGAGUGCCGUCCGCUGAGGACGGCUUUUCCCCAGUGUACACAGCUGGGGGAAUAAGGAGAGGGCAAGCCUGGUGUCAGCCGCCGCGGUAAUACCAGCUCUCCGAGUGGUGGGGACGCUUAUUGGGCCUAAAGCAUCCGUAGCCGGCUGGGCAAGUUCUCCGUUAAAUCCAACGAUUCAAUCGUUGGGCUGCGGGGGAUACUGUCCAGCUUGGGGGCGGGAGAGGCCGACGGUAUUCCCGGGGUAGGGUGAAAUCCUAUAAUCCCGGGAGGACCACCAGUGGCGAAGGCUGUCGGCUAGAACGCGCCCGACGGUGAGGGAUGAAAGCUGGGGGAGCGAACCGGAUUAGAUACCCCGGUAGU